CCUGCCCAAUGGUUGUAUCUAAAAGCGGUUGAUAAAAGUCGACCGCGUAAGGACAAUUGAAUGGCCGCGGUAACACUGACCGUGAUAAUGUAGCGUAAUCAAUAGCCAAUUAAUUGUUGGCCAGUAUGAAUGGCGCCACGAAGGCCCCACUGUCUUAAGGAAAUUCCCAGUGAAAUUGAAUUYGUAGUGAAGAUGCUACGUCCAAUUUGUUAGACGAAAAGACCCCGUUGAGCUUUACUGGGGCACUUACACGGCCCCGGCCUUCAAGACUGGGUUGAUAAGCCAAGGCUUACCAUACCUAGGGACCGGCCGAAUUUAAAUGGGUGGCUUAGACUAUGUGGCAGCCCCCCCCGUCGGGGCAGAUGAAACCCCACUCCCCCAUGUCAAAGGGGCUAACCCCCCCCCCUUGGGGGGGGACAAUGUAAGUAGGACAGUUUGGUUGGGGCGACCGCCUUUUAGAAAGUAACGAAGGUGCGCUUAAGGUGCGUAAUUAAUGACUGAAGCCUGACUGCGAGGGGGAUACCCCGAGCAGACACCCCCAAGCCCGCCCGAGAAGGCUUUGCCUUCUGGGCGGCGGUGGGGUGGGCCAUAGUGACCCGUUAAUUUAGAGUGGAAUAG
RNAcentral lists this ribosomal RNA (618 nucleotides) under Parazoanthus sp. New Caledonia Shallow. RNAcentral's name for it is "partial 16S large subunit ribosomal RNA". It matches the Rfam family "Bacterial large subunit ribosomal RNA", at positions 1858 to 2441 of the family's 2925-position model. The record is from RNAcentral. Lineage: Eukaryota; Metazoa; Cnidaria; Anthozoa; Zoantharia; Parazoanthidae.